Molecule: long non-coding RNA, 922 nt
Organism: Triticum dicoccoides
Lineage: Eukaryota; Viridiplantae; Streptophyta; Magnoliopsida; Poales; Poaceae
Exons: 3
Source: RefSeq, a predicted model, not a curated record
UCUCCCCACCACUCCCCAUUCCAUGGUGGCCGCCGCCCAUUCUCCCCGCUGCCUGCUCUCCUCCGCACGCCGCGCCGUCGCACGACGCCUCCUCCUCCUCCCCUCUGCCUCGCCCCGCCGCCUCCUCGCCGCACGACGGUCUCGCCUCGCCAGCAACCCCGCCGGUCUUCCCUAGAUAAACUCUGCCGCUGCCAUCCCCAUGUCCUAGCGCAGAUCUAGACAGGAGCUAGAGGGGCAUGCUGGACACGAUGCGGGAGCGGGCAUAUCAUAGAGGACCGAGAUCCAGUGCAUCUACGUGCCCGCUGUCAUUGUUGUCCCCCGUGCUUGGCUCCCACACUCGCUCCGGGUAGGCGCUCGCAGCUCACCUACUGCUCGGCUGCUCUAGGUACUUGACGGACUCAGUUAAAGCACAACGUCAGGCUGCAGCAGAAGCUUGAGGAAUGCAGGGGCUAAUGAUAGUACUCAUCAACCAAAAUUACCGGCGUUGCCAACCAUGCUUUGAACUUUCGGAGAUCAAGCUGUACGGUUGUACAAUGAAGAUUUUUGGUGAAAGGAGGAGCGGCCACCCACUCGACGGUGCGGUGCAGGGUGGCAAGGGAGCCGGCAGGGAGGUGUCAACGCGGUGCAUGGCCGCGAGGGAACCGUCCAGGAAGGCGACGAUGCGAUGCAGGGAUCGAGGCCGCCGUGCAGGGAGCCGACGGGGCUGCUGAGCUUCCUUUGGGGCGGUGGCGAGGAAAGGCAGGAGAGGGGCGAGGGAGACGAUUAGGUUUAGAUUCCUUUUUUUUUCAAAUUUAUUAGAUGGUUAGAUUAGCGUGAUUUGAGGGGCUGCGGAGGUGGGAUGGAGAGUUUCAUAUUUUCGUCUGGUGGAAUACGGUCAGUCCAUGUAAACUGCUAAGCGCACACCAGAUCUCAAAUAAAUUAA